AAGCUCUAUCUGUAAAUUUAUAAAGAAAAUAUCUAUUUGUAGGGACAGUAUACCCAGAAAAUCCUUAUCUCUUUGUCCAAGUAAUAGUAGAUAGGGGCUCUGAUAUGCUGACAUGUAUCCACCCGAACUUGGCAUUACAGUUACAGAGAGAACAAUGGCAGAAGCCAGCCGUUUAGUAUCAUCCUCAUCAGCAAGAACUAUCAACCAAAUUCCAAGCUCAUUCCAAUCUAAGCUCAAUUCCCAUAAACUUCAAUCCCACAAUGUCAGUGUUCGGUUUAGAGCUGCUUCCAGAAAGCAUGACUACUCAUCUCUGAUUUUUAGAUUAUGGAGUGUUUCCGUUGUUACCCUUUAAUGGGUGCAGAUUAGCAAGAAAGACAGUCGGAGUGGUCGACGCCGUCUGAUCACGAUUUCAACAGCAGAUGGAAGGUGGCAUGGAACAUGGAGCUGUGACUUCCUUGUAUCUCUCAAAGACCUGGACUUGGAUGACUUGGUUGAAGAUGAUGAACAAAAAGAUGCUCAGGUUUAUAUCAAUCUCAGCAUCCAAAAGCAUGCCAGCUUUGGUCUCUCAAUAGAUGGAAGGAUUGUGACAUCUUUCACUAGGAAAUGUGGCAUUUGCUCUUCCCCAUAUUGCAGAGAGAUUGAUACCUACUUCAACGUUUGGGUUCUGGCUUCGAGUAGAGACCAUGCUGCAACCCAUCAAUUGCCUGAAAUUGGUGGAGAUGAUCCAUCAUUAAGUCUCUAAACUCAACUCUCUCUCUCUCUCUCAGCUAAGUACAUACUCAUCGAUGGUGUGUGAUAUGUGCAGGUUAUCUAUGUGAAACCAGGGUAUGAAGCCAACUUGGAUUCACUGAUACAGGACACCAUCCGGCUAACUACCACCACCAAGGACACUUGCUCAGAGUCAUGCCAGAAAUCUGAACCCACCCUGCGUUAUAUUGGCAAGAAGAAUGCAGCUUCCAUCGACAAGAGGUGGUGUAGACUGUUGGAACUAAGGAAAGCGAAUCUACAUGAUGCAAAUAUUUAGAUUAUUUAUACUAAGAUUUUCUAUAUUUUCUGUCUAUAUGAGCCAUAGAUUAAAAAAAAAACCCAAGUCCUAAAUUUUGAUGUUGAUCAUGAAAUAUUGGAAGCCAUGGUUACUUUGAUUAUGGAGCUUGAAUCGUGCAAAGUAUAUAAUUUAGUAUUUAAGAUUCUAGCCUCUUUGUAAUAAAUUUUGUAAUACUUUGCAAUAAAUCUCAAUUUUGUUGAAA
Molecule: non-coding RNA, 1247 nt
Organism: Theobroma cacao (cacao)
Lineage: Eukaryota; Viridiplantae; Streptophyta; Magnoliopsida; Malvales; Malvaceae
Source: RefSeq, a predicted model, not a curated record